This is a non-coding RNA of Schistosoma mattheei, 43 nucleotides long. The record is from Rfam. Lineage: Eukaryota; Metazoa; Platyhelminthes; Trematoda; Strigeidida; Schistosomatidae.
CUGCUGAGGAGUCCCACAAUAGGACGAAACGGCCGUCCAGUGC